This 74-nucleotide transfer RNA is filed under the name Bacteroidales bacterium. Its description in RNAcentral is "tRNA-His". It matches the Rfam family "tRNA". From Rfam's summary of the family: Transfer RNA (tRNA) molecules are approximately 80 nucleotides in length. Their secondary structure includes four short double-helical elements and three loops (D, anti-codon, and T loops). Lineage: Bacteria; Pseudomonadati; Bacteroidota; Bacteroidia; Bacteroidales. The record is from RNAcentral.
GCGAUCAUAGCUCAGCUGGUUAGAGUGCCGGAUUGUGGUUCCGAAGGUCGUGGGUUCGAAUCCCAUUGGUCGCC